AAAAUGAAACUCUUUUUUUUAUGGUAAAACUACUAUAACAAGUUUUACACUCUAAAUUCUUGAAAAGGUUUCUACUUCAAUGAUCUACAAGAACAGAAUAAAACCUAUAUCUCGUUGAAGAGGGUUGCUGCAGCUAAAAAAGGAUUUCAUAGCUAACAUACAAAAAUAAGAGCAGAAGGACCAGAUGUGACCCCUUUCUAGUAAAAUCUGAUGAGUAACUUCUCAUGGUCCAGAUCUUCACUGAAAAAACUAUCAUUUGAUGGUAGCAACACACCUGCCCCUCACCACUGUUUCUUCCAUCACCAAAUCAUUGUCUUCUUUCCAGCUUAAUGUGAAAGGGAUGUCGAAUUUGUACCCUUUAAUAACAAUUCCUUCCAGCCACUGAUCUUCCAAACUAACUAAAUCCUCCUUCGUUUACCUUUGAUGAUGAGGUGAAGAUGGCUGAUCUGGAGAAGACCGUUGCCCAGAAACUGCACGAAAUCGAUGUUCCUCAAAGGCUCCCCGUUGUCGAUUUCCCUCACCUGGCUGAGGUUGUUCAUUUGCACCUGAGAAACCUGCUGAACUCAGAGACCCAAACUCAAGUUGUUCUCCUUGUGAACCUUGAGAACCAUAACUAGCAUUGUGGUCAAAUGGAUACAGCAUCACAACAGGCGAACCACCAGGCCCAUUUGAAGUCGGUCCACUUGGGUUCAUUGCUGUUAAUGGAUACAUGCCAUAUGCCACAUUAGGAGGGCCACUAUGGCUUGAAUUUCCACGCAAUUGGCCAUUUUGGGACAGAUAAGGAACAGAAUCAUGUCUAUGUGAACUCCAUGAUCUGUCUGCCCGGCUGUCACUGGAUGCCAACCGAUCCACUCUUGAGUUUGAUUUCUCAGAUUGGCUGCGGUUAUAAUUGCGCCCACCAGCACGAGAUUUUGGAUUCAUAUUCCAAUUCCCCUCUCUGUCAACAUGGUUAUCGUUUCUCUCAUAGUUGUAAUUUCCCCUUCUUGUAUUAGAUGAGUGUCGAUCCCUAACUGAAACAGGAUUUGGCAGGUAUGUCCCUGUCCCGCUACGGAAUCUUGGUAUCUCAUCAACAUACCGUGGAAACACAUUAGGAGGUCUAUUAGAAGCAGACUGUAGGGGUGAAAUAGGCAAUACACGAGGACCACAGCUCAUCAGCUGAGUAAAGACGUUCAUGUUGGCUGAAUGAGGUCUUCCAG
Molecule: unclassified non-coding RNA, 1196 nt
Filed under: Hevea brasiliensis (rubber tree)
Lineage: Eukaryota; Viridiplantae; Streptophyta; Magnoliopsida; Malpighiales; Euphorbiaceae
Source: RNAcentral